AUGUAUUACCAAGAGAAUCACUCACCAUUACCAGGAGAAAUACUCACCAUUACCAGGAGAAUCACUCACCAUUACCAGGAUAAUCACCAUUACCAAGAGAAUCACUCACCAUUACCAAGAGAAUCACUCACCAUUACCAGGAGAAUCACUCACCAUCACCAAGAGAAUCACUCACCAUCACCAGGAGAAUCACUCACCAUUACCAGGAUAAUCACCAUUACCAGGAUAAUCACAAUUACCAAGAGAAUCACUCACCAUCACCAGGAUAAAUCACAAUUACCAAGAGAAUCACUCACCAUCACCAGGAGAAUCACUCACCAUUACCAGGAUAAUCACCAUUACCAAGGGAAUCACUCACCAUUACCAGAAUCACUCACCAUUACCAGGAUAAUCACCAUUGCCAAGAGAAUCACUCACCAUUACCAAGAGAAUCACCAUUACCAGGAGAAUCACUCACCAUUACCAGGAGAAUCACUCACCAUUACCAGGAGAAUCACUCACCAUUACCAGGAGAAUCACCAUUACCAAGAGAAUCACCAUUACCAGGAGAAAUACUCACCAUUAUCAGGAGAAUCACUCACCAUUACCAGGAUAAUCACCAUUACCAGGAUAAUCACAAUUACCAAGAGAAUCACUCACCAUCACCAGGAUAAAUCACAAUUACCAAGAGAAUCACUCACCAUCACCAGGAGAAUCACUCACCAUUACCAGGAUAAUCACCAUUACCAAGAGAAUCACUCACCAUUACCAGAAUCACUCACCAUUACCAGGAUAAUCACCAUUGCUAAGAGAAUCACUCACCAUUACCAAGAGAAUCACCAUUACCAGGAGAAUCACUCACCAUUACCAGGAGAAUCACUCACCAUUACCAGGAGAAUCACUCACCAUUACCAGGAGAAUCACCAUUACCAAGAGAAUCACCAUUACCAGGAGAAAUACUCACCAUUAUCAGGAGAAUCACUCACCAUUACCAGGAGAAUCACUCACCAUUACCAGGAUAAUCACUCACCAUUACCAGGAUAA
This 1023-nucleotide long non-coding RNA is filed under the name Salmo trutta (river trout). RNAcentral's name for it is "lncRNA (ENSSTUG00000012755.1)". The record is from RNAcentral. Lineage: Eukaryota; Metazoa; Chordata; Actinopteri; Salmoniformes; Salmonidae.